Molecule: non-coding RNA, 95 nt
Organism: Podarcis lilfordi (Lilford's wall lizard)
Lineage: Eukaryota; Metazoa; Chordata; Lepidosauria; Squamata; Lacertidae
Source: the annotation of a GenBank genome assembly
GGUCAGUGCGUCGGCACCUUGGCUCUAGACUGCUUACUGCUAAGUGCUACGACAGGAACAGUAACAGUCUACAGUCAUGGCUACUGAAGUCUGAC